UACGUAGGUGGCAAGCGUUAUCCGGAAUUACUGGGUGUAAAGGGCGUGUAGGCGGCCUUAUAAGUUGGGUGUUUAAUUCCCGGGCUCAACCCGGGGUUGUCACUUAAAACUGUAGGGCUUGAGGCUCAGAGAGGACAGUGGAAUUCCUAGUGUAGCGGUAAAAUGCGUAGAUAUUAGGAGGAACACCGGUGGCGAAGGCGGCUGUCUGGCUGAGUACUGACGCUGAUGCGCGAAAGCGUGGGGAGCAAACAGGAUUAGAUACCCUGGUAGUCCCUGAGCGGG
RNAcentral lists this ribosomal RNA (282 nucleotides) under uncultured prokaryote. RNAcentral describes it as "partial 16S ribosomal RNA". It matches the Rfam family "Bacterial small subunit ribosomal RNA", at positions 524 to 803 of the family's 1533-position model. The record is from RNAcentral.